Molecule: ribosomal RNA, 253 nt
Filed under: uncultured bacterium
Lineage: Bacteria
Description: partial 16S ribosomal RNA
Rfam family: Bacterial small subunit ribosomal RNA
Source: RNAcentral
UACGUAGGGUGCAAGCGUUGUCCGGAAUUAUUGGGCGUAAAGAGCUCGUAGGCGGUUCGUCGCGUCGGCUGUGAAAUCCCGAGGCUCAACCUCGGGUCUGCAGUCGAUACGGGCGGACUGGAGUUCGGCAGGGGAGACUGGAAUUCCUGGUGUAGCGGUGAAAUGCGCAGAUAUCGGGAGGAACACCAGUGGCGAAGGCGACUACCUGGCCUGUUCUUGACGCUGAGGCGCGAAAGCUAGGGUAGCAAACAGG